UAAUAUACUGGUCUUGUAAACCAGAAAAGGAGACCAACCAACCUCCCUAAGAC
RNAcentral lists this transfer RNA (53 nucleotides) under Cervus hanglu bactrianus (Bactrian deer). RNAcentral's name for it is "partial tRNA-Thr". Lineage: Eukaryota; Metazoa; Chordata; Mammalia; Artiodactyla; Cervidae. The record is from RNAcentral.